AUGAUGGUGCUACUCACCGGCGGGACAGGCAAACUGGGGCGUCCUUUGGUAACGGCGCUGAAGCGGCGGGGUUAUAAGGUCCGCGUCAUGAGCACGCGUGAACGUGACAACUCUGUUGAGCCGGACACCGCAUGGGUGUGCGCCGAUCUCGCGACGGGCGGAGGGCUCGAUGCUGCGGUUGAAGGUGUGGACACGAUUGUCCAUCUUGCAUCCAGUCCUCGAAAUCCCCAGGCGGUGGAUGUAGAUGGUACUCGACGGCUGGUAGGAGCUGCGCUACGUGGCGGUGUAUCGCACCUUUUCUAUGUAUCGAUCGUCGGCAUCGACCAGGUUCCUACGACUUAUUACAAAGC
RNAcentral lists this unclassified non-coding RNA (350 nucleotides) under plant metagenome. RNAcentral's name for it is "partial contains 5.8S ribosomal RNA, internal transcribed spacer 2, and large subunit ribosomal RNA". The record is from RNAcentral.